GCCUCCUCUGCGGAGAGCGGCGAGGCCGGCCCGAGGCGGGCGCCGAGCGCGGAGCGGAGGGGGGCCCGAGGGAGGCGGGGGUGGAAUCAGCCCAAUUCCCGAGGCUGGCUCCGAGGGGGACCCGGAAUACAGGCUGGCGGGGGGCCGGCGGGGGCCGAGCUCCCGGAGGAGGGGAAGGCGGAGGUGGCCCCGUCCUUGGGCAUCAACUAUUGUCUAGGCGCCCGGGCCCCCGCUCGCGCCGUCCCCGAGGCUCAGCGCCCCCAUCCCGCCCGCCAGCAGAAAGAACUGAGGGGGCGGCCAGUACGGGAAGCAAGUGCGGGGGUCCGGGCUCCGAAGGUCCAAGUCUCGGGUGAGAUCACCACGGAGCGGCUUAGCGCGGCGCACAAGUCUCGCGAGAGAAGCGGCGGCUGGGCCCUGCAGGCGGAGGAAGUGGAAAAAGUCGCGGGAGGGUAGGGGACCGCGGAACUUCUGGUUGCUAUGACGACGGCAAAGCCCUGGAUUCCUGUCUCCUGCGGAGAGCAGAGGCUGCAAACGCAUCCGCAGACGCCUUUAUACGUACUCCAAAAUGCUAGUAAGGAUGAAGAUGAACUCUCCUCAGCCCGUGUCUUUUAACUGUAGAAACUUUUCUGAGACUAGUCUCACUCUGUUGCCCAGGCUGGAGUGCAGUGGCGCGAUCUCAGCUUACUUCAGCCUCCGCCUCCCGGUUUCAAGUGAAUUCUCCAGCCUCAACUUCACAAGUAGCUGGGAUUACAGCCACUUUUUAUCUUCUCUCCUGCAAUCCAACCCACAUAAUUUCCAUGAAGAAAGCGGAGUGGUGUCAUUUUACAACAAGAAAACUGAGUUAAGAAUAAGUCCAAUCAAUUGCUAGGUGUUGAGACUGAAAUGGAAGUCUCUUAGUACUCCACCCAAGGAUUUUCAUAUUAAAC
Molecule: long non-coding RNA, 926 nt
Filed under: Homo sapiens (human)
Lineage: Eukaryota; Metazoa; Chordata; Mammalia; Primates; Hominidae
Description: HSALNT0377858
Source: RNAcentral